GAUGAACGCUGGCGGCGUGCCUAACACAUGCAAGUCGAGCGAUUUACUUCGGUAAAGAGCGGCGGACGGGUGAGUAACGCGUGGGUAACCUGCCCUGUACACACGGAUAACAUACCGAAAGGUAUGCUAAUACGAGAUAACAUACUUUUAUCGCAUGGUAGAAGUAUCAAAGCUCUGGCGGUACAGGAUGGACCCGCGUCUGAUUAGCUAGUUGGUAAGGUAACGGCUUACCAAGGCGACGAUCAGUAGCCGACCUGAGAGGGUGAUCGGCCACAUUGGAACUGAGACACGGUCCAAACUCCUACGGGAGGCAGCAGUGGGGAAUAUUGCACAAUGGGCGAAAGCCUGAUGCAGCAGCGCCGCGUGAGCGAUGAAGGCCUUCGGGUCGUAGAGCUCUGUCCUCAAGGAAGAUAAUGACGGUACUUGAGGAGGAAGCCCCGGCUAACUACGUGCAGCCGCCGCCGUAA
Molecule: ribosomal RNA, 467 nt
Filed under: uncultured bacterium
Lineage: Bacteria
Description: partial 16S ribosomal RNA
Rfam family: Bacterial small subunit ribosomal RNA
Source: RNAcentral